AUCGAUGGAGGCGUUGGAGCUGGAGCUGGAAGAAGUGGAGUCCCAGAUCCGCGCGCUGGUGGCCCAGCGCACCCGGGGCGCGGCUCAGCCAGGCGUCGUUCACGCCGACACCCGGCUACCACGGCGCCUGGGUGCAGCCGCGCAAGGUGCUUCCCAGAUCCCGGGGCAGAACGUCUCCGCCUGUGUUCGAGAUCUCCACGGAGAACCGCUUCUCCCCGCUCCGCGAGUCGGGUCCGAUGUGGCCAUCAUCGGUGACUCGAUCGUUCGUCACGUCCGUGCCGCCUCCUCAAAAGGUAAUAAAGUACGUACUUUCUGCUUUCCUGGUGCCCGUGUGAAAAAUAUUUCUACACAGAUUCCAACCAUCCUGGGCGCUGCCGAGAGCCCUGGUGCCGUUGUCCUCCACAAGGACUUCAGGAGCCUGAUCGAGACGGUUCGACGCACCUCGCCCGCCACGCAGAUCAUCGUUUCUGGGCCGCUUCCUACCUACCGCCGAGGAAAUGAAAGGUUCAGUAGACUUUUAGCUUUGAAUGAAUGGCUAAUAACAUGGUGUAAAGAACAAAAAUUGCUCUUUGCUAAUAACUGGAAUCUUUUCUGGGAGCGUCCUAGGCUCUUCCGUCCUGACGGCCUGCACCCCAGUCGAGCCGGAGCUGAACUCCUGUCGGACAACAUCUCCAGACUACUUCGCACCAUCUGACUAGCAG
RNAcentral lists this long non-coding RNA (701 nucleotides) under Danio rerio (zebrafish). RNAcentral describes it as "si:cabz01070527.3 (ENSDARG00000104600.3)". The record is from RNAcentral. Lineage: Eukaryota; Metazoa; Chordata; Actinopteri; Cypriniformes; Danionidae.